RNAcentral lists this ribosomal RNA (447 nucleotides) under uncultured bacterium. RNAcentral's name for it is "bacterial SSU rRNA". It matches the Rfam family "Bacterial small subunit ribosomal RNA", at positions 329 to 793 of the family's 1533-position model. The record is from RNAcentral.
UUCCAGACUCCUACGGGAGGCAGCAGUGGGGAAUAUUGCACAAUGGGGGAAACCCUGAUGCAGCGACGCCGCGUGAGUGAAGAAGUAUUUCGGUAUGUAAAGCUCUAUCAGCAGGGAAGAUAAUGACGGUACCUGAGUAAGAAGCCCCGGCUAACUACGUGCCAGCAGCCGCGGUAAUACGUAGGGGGCAAGCGUUAUCCGGAUUUACUGGGUGUAAAGGGAGCGUAGACGGCAUGGCAAGUCUGAAGUGAAAGCCCGGGGCUCAACCGCGGGACUGCUUUGGAAACUGUUAAGCUGGAGUGCAGGAGAGGUAAGUGGAAUUCCUAGUGUAGCGGUGAAAUGCGUAGAUAUUAGGAGGAACACCAGUGGCGAAGGCGGCUUACUGGACUGUAACUGACGUUGAGGCUCGAAAGCGUGGGGAGCAAACAGGAUUAGAUACCCCCGUAG